ACUGGGCUCUCUGACAUUUAAAAGAGGGCGGGGGCAUCUAAUUCAGAGUCAAAAGCACCUAGUUAUGCCUCAGCUAUCUGAAAGAAAUUUUCUGCAGUUAUUGUGUUUAUGUGUGUCUAUAAAAUUAGAAACAGUAUCUUCUCAGUGACCAUGCAGAGAUAUAAGAGGAUGAAGGAACGUUAGUACUUGCAAUCACCCAUAAGGACAUUGUUAAGAAGCUUCAAAGGUUCGUUCAAACAAUGUUAUGUGCCAAGCAUUAUACCAAAUUCUGGAUGAAACAGAAAUAAGAAUGAGUUGAAGUUCAUGGAACUGGAAAGCAGAAUGGUGGUUCUCCAGGCUCUUACUUCCUUAUUUUGCUCUAAACUUUCUCUGAAUUCUCCAUCAACCUCAAUCUAUUCGUUAGCCUCUCAGCUGGCCUCUCUUCCUUCACCAAUCCUCUGAGU
RNAcentral lists this long non-coding RNA (443 nucleotides) under Bos taurus (domestic cattle). Its description in RNAcentral is "long non-coding RNA NONBTAT014279". Lineage: Eukaryota; Metazoa; Chordata; Mammalia; Artiodactyla; Bovidae. The record is from RNAcentral.